UACGGGGGGGGCAAGCGUUGUUCGGAAUUACUGGGCGUAAAGGGCUCGUAGGCGGCCAACUAAGUCAGACGUGAAAUCCCUCGGCUUAACCGGGGAACUGCAUCUGAUACUGGAUGGCUAGAGAUUGGGAGAGGGAUGCGGAAUUCCAGGUGUAGCGGUGAAAUGCGUAGAUAUCUGGAGGAACACCGGUGGCGAAGGCGGCAUCCUGGACCAACACUGACGCUGAUGGGCGAAAGCCAGGGGAGCAAACGGG
Molecule: ribosomal RNA, 253 nt
Filed under: uncultured bacterium
Lineage: Bacteria
Description: partial 16S ribosomal RNA
Rfam family: Bacterial small subunit ribosomal RNA
Source: RNAcentral